Cyprinus carpio carpio is the source of this 3563-nucleotide long non-coding RNA. The record is from Ensembl. NCBI's taxonomy places the organism in Eukaryota, Metazoa, Chordata, Actinopteri, Cypriniformes, Cyprinidae.
UUCAAGUUCAUUAAACCAAAUCUCAAAAAGUCUUUAAUUUCAUGUUCAAAGCUCUGGUUUUCUGGUCUUUGGAUGACAGUAUUAAAACUACACAAAAGUACUAUAGUAAUAGGAGGUUUAACCCUCAUGUCAUCUCUCUGAAGUAGCCAGUGGAACAGCUGGCAUCCUGACAGCAACCGAGCAGAGUAAAACUCAACCUGCGCCUGUAGACAAAGCACCAGAUGACAACAUCACAACAGUUAAGAGUCAGUGUUUAGCCAGACAGACAUGUAAGAAAACAGGAACUGACAAGCUGCAGACAAGGGUUUCAGAGAGCUAAACUGGACUGAGCAAGCCAAUGAAAUGCUGAAGCAUUCAGACCAGUGUCUAUCUGAGAUGUUCAACUCUUCCGGAUUGUUGCAGGCCAAUUUUACCCCUAACCAUAGCCAAACUAACCCAACCACCUUUUGCCCCAUUCCCCCAUCAAAACCCCACCCUAACCCCCUCCUCUCGUCCUCAGAGACCUGGCUCCGGAACUGACUUAGGAAGUCCCUUAAUGGUUACCAAACUGUGGGGGAACUGCAUACGCUCAGCGAGGACUAAACAUAUGUUUAGAGGAGACAACAUCAGCAAUCACCACUUGACCCUGGCGCUCAUACUUCUGUUUUCCUCCCCCUCAGACGGGAGAAAGAACUCAGAACGGGUAAUAUAAUCAGCCGAAAGCACAAAACCAGUGAGGAGGCACUGUGAACAUGCCCAGUUCCAGAUGUACGGGCAGCCAUGUACCGAGACAAGGCUGGGAAGAGAAGCAGAGGAUGUCGAGGAGGAGUUAAGAAAUAAAGAUGAAUCACUGCAGAAUGAAACUUAGGAAAGAAAAUAUUUCAAAUAAGAUCUCUUUGAUAUCUCUUUUAAACAGCAAAUUGGAGGUUUUCUGAGUAACAGGAGCUUCCUUCUUCUCAGAUCUUCUCCUGAAAUAGACGGCAGCAAUCUCACAAAUAAUUUCAGAAAAAAUCCCAACAAUGUCUCAGACUGUUCUCAGAAUUGCCAGUAUACCAUAAUCAACCAAAGGUUGUAAUGGUCUGGAUGUUUGUCCCUUUAAGACUCUGAUUCAGGGUUUCCUCUGCCCCUGCACUCGUGUGUAUAUGCUGGGAGAACCAUAUUGUACUUUCUACCAUUUUGAAGCACCUUCCUUUAACAUUAAUUCAUUCGUUGAUGGUGACCUGCAUUGUGCGUUUCUUUCUUCCAUAACGCACAAUAGGUUACAAGGUCAAGAAACAUUCCUGUUUAUACUUUGACUACACUAUUCAGUGCCAAAAAGCAACAAAAAUGGUCAAAUCUGCAGGUUUACAGACACAAGAUCACACUCACAAGUUCAUUGUAGGAGCAUGAUUCCAUACAGAUGUUCAACCGUGAAGAAGAAAAAUAGGUGGGAGGGGAAACUGACCAAAGAGUGAGAACAAAUUGCUUAUGUCUGUGACUUCACAUUCAAUGUGUAAAUAAGAUGUUCAAAGAAAACAAUAUGGAGUUAUUCCAAAACAUCCCUAAAAUCCCCUGCUCCCCCGGGAAGCCGCUUCUCAUUGUUUUUCAUUAACCUCAUGCCUGCGUGUCUCCAGAGGCCAUUAUUUACAACAGAUGAGAAAGUGGUGUUUGAAAAACUCAACUGGUUACUUUCUCCCCUGUACGGUGAAAUUGGGUACCUUGUGAACCUGUAUUCGAUUCUCGGCUUUUAAGACCCGUUAUAUCAAAGUAACUAUAUAAUUCUAUGAGAAUAGGCAAAUCCACGCCAUAACUAUAAAGAUAACAACAUUGUUAAUUUGUGCAGUAGCCAUCAGGGGAACAAAUACUGUCAUGACAAAGUUAAAAGAUGGUGUCGUAACUGCACUCUCCUACUCACAACAAUAAAAAGAAAUCAUGUGUUUUGGUUUGGUUUAUUAUUAUUACAUACAUUACAUACAAGCAAUGGAAAAAUAAUUUUAAGUCUCAGAUCAGUGUACAACAGGCCACUUGUAAAAUGGUGCUUUUCCUCAUUUCAUGGACUCAGUCAGGCAUGUGCUAACAAAUGGCUGUAAGUUGGCUAACUAAGGGAACAUCUCAAAGGAAGAAACAUGAGGUGACAAUGCAAGUGAUAAAUUCAUUUCAGUGUGGAAAAGGUGUAAUCAUUUGAGAAUAGUUACUCAUUGCCAGGAAUUACUCAGACCCAGCUGUGUAGUACACACAGCCACGAACACACACAAACACACACAUCUAUCUAUCAUCCUCCCCUCUGUCCACCCUUACAAAUGUUUAGUCACUCACAUCUAGUUACCAAUGAAUAAAAAAAACACCCCUGAAAAAGCCUGACGGAAAAAAAUGAUGGGAGUUUUCGGUUCACUGUCUAAGGUCAGGUAUCAGCACUAAUAUUUGGCUGAAAAAUGUCACUUUAACUUUUUCAUUAUAAAACAUUACCAAACUCCCAUUUAGGCAUGUAAAUAUCUCAUGGCUGCUUUCUUAUUCACUGAAUAAGAAUAUUUACAAAAAUAAUAUUUUUCACUGAAUGUUAAACUACAAAAUGUGCUCCACAUGGUAACUCCUAAAUUAAUUUAAUCCAAAUCUUUUAUUUAAUCUGAUAUAUACAUUAUAUGUUUAUUUAAUAAAAAUAAUUCAAUAAUCGAUCUAUCUAUCUAUCUAUCUGUCUGUCUGUCUGUCUGUCUGUCUGUCUGUCUGUCUGUCUUUUGGGAGUUAAAAAAAAAAACCUUAGAUAAACAAAAAAAAUGAUGAAAUAUUUGAGAAUAACAUUAUAGCAAAAAACCUUAGAUAAACAUUUUUUUCCGGGAGCAAUUUUGUGAGCCGGGUAGGAUUUCCCAGUAGAAAUCAUCAGCUUGGAGGAAAUCAUUUAGUCUCAGUAAGUGGCAGACAGCAUCCUGAUCUCACUGCUCUGGCUCCAGUCUCAGAACAGCUCCUAAGCGCUCUGCAGUCUUUCAGGCCAGGACUAUAUAAACACUGCUUUAAGAGGCCGACAUAAUCCUUGUGUGGCCUCUCAAUUCUUUUUAGCUCAUGAACAAUGUUUCAAAAAUCUUUAGAGGAGGAAACAAAUUUGAGAGACAGAGAGAGGAAAAGAGAGAAGAUUGAAAUAUUAUAACAUCGAAAAGAGAGAUAACAACAUAAGCUGAAUAAAUGUCCAUUUCUGCAGAAAAUAAGACAUGACAUUAAUCUGUUAAGGCUUGUUGGUUUCUUAUUACCAUUUCAUAAUGCCAUGAUUAUUAUUAUUAUUUUUUUUAUUCCCUGCAAACACUGCACUGACUAAUAUGGCAUUAAUUUCGGACUGAUACUGACAGUGGAGUAGAGGAAGCAUCAUGAAAAAUGUAUGUUUUUAUUAGUUACCAAUGCUGAUGUUAAGUUAAAUUUUCCAUUCACAGUCAGCAGUAAUUUAUUUAUUACAUAUUCUCUUAUUAUGAUAUGACUGCUCUUAUGUUUACUUUUUUUUAAAGUCCUAUUCUUUUCUGUGUAAAAUAAAUAAAUAAAAAAUGUUUAAAAAGGAAAAAAUAACUUCACUUUACAUUUGUGCAAUUGAAUUGAUUCUGAACAUUGUGCCACAAUUAUUAUGU